This 186-nucleotide ribosomal RNA is filed under the name uncultured bacterium. Its description in RNAcentral is "partial 16S ribosomal RNA". It matches the Rfam family "Bacterial small subunit ribosomal RNA", at positions 1314 to 1500 of the family's 1533-position model. The record is from RNAcentral.
GACUACAUGAAGCUGGAAUCGCUAGUAAUCGCAAAUCAGAAUGUUGCGGUGAAUACGUUCCCGGGUCUUGUACACACCGCCCGUCACACCAUGGGAGUCGGAUAUGCCCGAAGCCAGUGACCUAACCGCAAGGAAGGAGCUGUCGAAGGUGGAGCCGAUAACUGGGUGAAGUCGUAACAAGGUAUC